Homo sapiens (human) is the source of this 2524-nucleotide long non-coding RNA. Ensembl annotates it as long intergenic non-protein coding RNA 2693. The record is from Ensembl. Lineage: Eukaryota; Metazoa; Chordata; Mammalia; Primates; Hominidae.
GCGCCCGGCCGGCGUGGCUGGCUGUUUGAGGACUGCGCGCGGAGCUCCGUGGCGGGUGUCUGAAGUCGUGAGUUUACUGCUUGUAAGGAACAUAGCGAUCACUGGGAACCUGGAAGUAGAGACUCCUUUCUGCCAUCCAUCCGUCCCUCGGGCUGCUGCGAAUCCCCCCGCCGGCCUCCAGGACCCCGGGCUGACUGAACGCCCGCACCGGUCCCGCCGCCCCAGGGCCCGCUACGCGCCCGGCAUAAUGGGAGAAAAAUCACGACGGAAAGGCCCAGCCCCUCGCCAUGCAGACGGGAAGCUUGGCCGCACGUGUGAUCACCCUUACGCCCCUUGGAGUUUCACCCCCUCUUCGCGGGCUCCAACAGCCUGGGUCAGGCCUCCUUGUCCUGUGUGGGCCUCUCGGCUGCAAGAACACAGUCCCGAGCCCCGGCGAGCCCGCGCGCCUCCCACCCGCCGUGCACAGGCUGCACUUUACGCCCCAGCACUGCGCCUGCGGGACCAUCUGGAUCGCUUUUCCAUUCUGAUGACGUCCUGUACUUCGUGGCUGCAGGCUCCUCAAGCCCCAGGUCUGUGCAGAGACGAGCAAAGCAGCAGAAUAUCCGUGCCACAGCUUUCUGGAGCACCCAUUUUACUACCAGAUUUGGAAGGAACGAAGUUAAGUAAUUUCCAAGAAUCAUCUCCCCUGCCCCACAAACAUGAAAGAAAAGACAAGAGAAGCACCCCAGAAGAGGAGGGGAGAAGUGCCCCAGAAAAAAUCAUCCAGUCUCUGAAGCUUUGCCCAGGGCACCACUCGCCCCUGAUCCAUCUUGGUUUCCCGCACAAGGCAGCAGGAUUGCCCAUGAAUGAACAUGGGUGAAAUCGUUGGAUACAGUCUCCACCUCCAAAACAAGACUCAGAAAAAGGUGUGAAGCUCAAGUCGGAUGACCAUGACCCACGCGUGGCCACGGACGGGCCCAUGCUACCCUUCGCAGUCCUCCUGGAACAGCCGGGCCGGUCCUCACCUCCGGGUCGGGGCUUGGAGAUAAUGGGUGUAAUGGAAGGCCUGAGGACCGGGCCCCACGCCAGUCAGCGUCCGGGCGGGAUACCCCAUCCCCCGUUCACACUCUCGGAAGGCCCAGCGAUUCCCGCGUGUACUAAUUGACCCGCUCAGGCCACAGCACUCCGAGCUCAAGAGCGCGCCUACAACGCUGACCCUCAGGUUUAAUCUCCGACGAAAGGACGAAGAGUACACCCAGCAAAGCCGGGCUCAUCCUGCCAGCGCUGCCAGUCCCCUGGAACUCUGCACCGCGCCCUGUGGCCAAAUCCCCUUUCUUGCCGGCUUCGCCAGAGCGCCGGAGAGAAAACCUUAACAGUGCAGCCAGGUGGCGCCCGACAGCCGGCGCCAGCGGCCGCGGAUCGGAUCCGCAUCUCCGGCGGGCGAGGCCUCUCCUAGUCCCUGACCAACUGGGAUCGCGUUUCUCGGCCUGGGGCGGGUGAAGGAGCUCCCAGUUGGCACCGCCUGGAAUGGCGCGACCCCGCAGCCGAAGGAGACUUGAAAAUUUUUCCUAACUACCGUUCUGCUCCGAGUGACUGCUACCUGCGAGGACAGACAGCCCACGCGGCUCCGGGCCGGGCGAUCUUCCGCGGGAACCGGGAACGUUUCCGAAGACCCCCGCAGGCCGGCGCCCUGCCUCGGCUUCCCAGCGCAGCGGGGUCCCGGGCUCCUCGCGGAUUAGAAAGUUUUGCUGGGCUCUGGCGGCGGGAGAGACAGUGAAGUUGAAACCGUGAAAGGGAGAACAUGGGUGAAUCGCUUUUAUUCUGUCUUUUCGGAAUGGGGAAGCCUUUCUAAAGCAUUAAAUAAACCCAGAAGCCAUCAAGGAAAUGAUUGAUCGGCUUGACAACAUAAAGUUUGAACAAAAUACACAAGCAAAGUCAAAAGAUAACAAAUGAGUGUGGGGAUCGCUUAUGCAUAAGAUAAGAAUAUUGAUUUCAUUCACAGUAGCCAAGAUACGGAAGCAACCUAGCCAAGAUAUGGAAGCAUCUACUAGUGGCUGAACGGAUAAAGAAAAUGUGGUGUAUGUACACCACGGGGUACUGUCCCGCCUUUGAAUAAAAGGAAAUCCUGCCAUUGGCGACAACAUGGAUGAACGUGGAGGUCAUUGUACUAAGAAAAGUAAGCCAGGCACAGAAACAAAUACCACCUGGUCUCUCCUGUAUGUGGAAUCUGAAAAUAGUUGAACUCAUAGAAACGGAGAGUAGAACGGUGGCUACUUGAGGCCGGGGGAAGGGCAGGAGGGGGAAGAUGUUAGUCAAAGGGUACAAGGAUUCAGUUAGACAAGAGGAAUAUGUUUUAGUGAUCCACAUGGCACGGUGACUGUAGUUAAUGCAUUUUAUAUGUCAAAAUUCCUUAAAUAGUAGAUUUUAAAUAAUCUCACCACAAAAAAAUAGAUGUGUUGGUGAUGGAUAUCUUAAUUAGCUUAAAGUAAUUGUUCCACCAAUGUAUACAUAUAUCAAAACAUCACAUUGUAUCCCAUGAAUAUAU